Molecule: RNA transcript, 2126 nt
Organism: Zingiber officinale
Lineage: Eukaryota; Viridiplantae; Streptophyta; Magnoliopsida; Zingiberales; Zingiberaceae
Gene name: transcription initiation factor TFIID subunit 15b-like
Exons: 8
Source: RefSeq, a predicted model, not a curated record
GUGUUCGUGUUCAGCUCUUUAAUAACCUCUCUCAACCUUGCGUGGCGGCGUGCCCUAAAUCCUAAUUACUAAACUCUCUCUUUAUCGUCAUUUUAUUCGUUCGAUCUUCCGCCACUCUUCUUCCUUUGCGGAAGGGAAGCAAAAAAACCCUAAUUCAUGUCAAGUUCCUACGGCUCCGGUGGACCUGAUGACACUGCGCAGCCUCCUCGCGGCGGCGGUUACGGACGAGGCCGUGGAGGCGGCGGCGGGUACGGUGGAAACCAGGGGAAUCGAGGUGGAAGCGGCGGCUACGGUGGCGGUGGCGGUGGCGGUGGCUAUCAAGGCGGAGAUCGUGGAAACCGGGGAGGUGGCGGUGGACCCCGAGGCGGUGGUCGUGGUGGCGGAGUUGGUCGGGAGGGAGAUUGGCGAUGCCCCAACUCCAGUUGCGGAAAUAUGAACUUCGCAAGAAGAGUGGAGUGCAACAAGUGUGGAGCUCCGUGUCCCGGUGGUGGGCGUGGUGGUGGUUCUGGUGACAGCAACAGAGGAGGUGAUGGUGGCGGUGGUUUCAAUAGAGGUGGUGGUGGUGAUUAUAAUGAUGGUCAAGGUGGUGCCCGUGGUAGUUAUAACAACCGGGGCGGUGGAUAUUCUGGGAACCGUGGUGGUAGAAGUGAUUAUGAAGGAAGAGGUGGAGAUUUUGGGGGAAGAGGUGCUUCUUAUAAUGAUAAUAAUCGAGAGCGAGAGGAUGACAGAUAUGGUCAAGUUGCACUGCCUCCCUCAGCUGGUUAUGGCGGUCCUGGUGGUGCUGCUGGGAAUUAUACUCCUCCCAAUUGUUACGGUGCAAAUAGUGCCUAUGCUGGUGAUUCUGUUACACCUCCUAGUAAUUAUGGUGGCCCUAAUUCUUACCCUCCUCCAUACGGUGUACCCCCUCCAAAUGCAUAUUCUAAUGAAGGUUCUUUGGCUCGUGGUGGUCCACCAUCUAGCUAUGGCGGUCCACCAUCCAGACAUGGUGGUGGAUAUGGUGAUCGUGGGAACCCUGGCCGUGGUGGUGGUGCUCCACCUCGCCACGAGGGUGGUGCGUAUGGUGCUGCUCCUACUGAUGCUGGCGCUCAGAUCAAACAAUGUGAUGAAAGCUGUGGAGAAUCUUGUGAUAACUCGAGGAUCUACAUCUCAAACUUGCCUCCUGAUGUGACUACAGAUGAGCUACGUGACCUUUUUGGAGGAAUCGGUCAGGUUGGCAAGCUCAAGCAAAAGCGAGGCUACAAAGACCAGUGGCCUUGGAAUAUAAAGAUAUAUACAGAUGAAUCUGGGAAUAACAAAGGAGAUGCUGUGCUCUCAUAUGAAGAUCCUGCUGCUGCUCAUUCUGCCGGAGGCUUCUAUAAUAACUACGACAUGAGAGGGUACAAGAUUAAUGUUGCAAUGGCAGAGAAGACUGCACUCAAAGCAGCCCCUUCAUAUGAUGGUGGCAGAGGGGGUUAUGGUGGAGGAGAUCGACGUAGAGAUAAUUAUAAUGGUGGUGGUGGACCUGAGAGGCACCAGUACGGCGGCCAGCGAUCUCGACCGUAUUAGGCUGAGUUAUGUGUUCUGAGAAUCUCUACUGAGUUCUCUUUCUAGUGAUAGUCACUUUGUACUCAAAAUUGGAGCAUAAGAUGCAUGUGGAAUUAAUCUCCAAACUGCUGCUAGAUUUGAAAAUUACAGAUUUCUUUAGUGCCUGGCUCGAACACAUUAACAGCAGCUUUCAUUACUGAUGGAAAUUAGUGUUGCAUUCCAUCUUUUACCCUUGCUGUCUUCUUUCACUUUAAAAUAUGGGACUUUUUCUCCCCUGAACCAGCCAACUGAUCUCAUAACUGUAGUUACUUCUGAACUAAACGAACACUGUAAGGUUGGGUGCAAAUCAAUAUUUGUUCAAUUCUAGAUCAUAGGUUCUUAGGUUAUCUUGGUGCACAGCUUGCUUGCUAAGCUCGAGUUAUGAAAAUUAAGAUGGUGGCCUUCAUUUCUUUUAAAAUUAGCACUGUUUUUCUUAUUGGCACAUAGUUUCAUUACUAUGAACACGGUCAUAGGAAACACAAAGGGUUUUCCCCGAGUGUGAAGGACAAAUGUUGCUUUAGAAUAUUUUGUAUGUAUUUACAGGAUUUAUUAUUCCCGUGCAU